AGCAGCUUGCUGCUUCGCUGACGAGUGGCGGACGGGUGAGUAAUGUCUGGGAAACUGCCUGAUGGAGGGGGAUAACUACUGGAAACGGUAGCUAAUACCGCAUAACGUCGCAAGACCAAAGAGGGGGACCUUCGGGCCUCUUGCCAUCGGAUGUGCCCAGAUGGGAUUAGCUAGUAGGUGGGGUAACGGCUCACCUAGGCGACGAUCCCUAGCUGGUCUGAGAGGAUGACCAGCCACGCUGGAACUGAGACACGGUCCAGACUCCUACGGGAGGCAGCAGUGGGGAAUAUUGCACAAUGGGCGCAAGCCUGAUGCAGCCAUGCCGCGUGUAUGAAGAAGGCCUUCGGGUUGUAAAGUACUUUCAGCGGGGAGGAAGGGAGUAAAGUUAAUACCUUUGCUCAUUGACGUUACCCGCAGAAGAAGCACCGGCUAACUCCGUGCCAGCAGCCGCGGUAAUACGGAGGGUGCAAGCGUUAAUCGGAAUUACUGGGCGUAAAGCGCACGCAGGCGGUUUGUUAAGUCAGAUGUGAAAUCCCCGGGCUCAACCUGGGAACUGCAUCUGAUACUGGCAAGCUUGAGUCUCGUAGAGGGGGGUAGAAUUCCAGGUGUAGCGGUGAAAUGCGUAGAGAUCUGGAGGAAUACCGGUGGCGAAGGC
RNAcentral lists this ribosomal RNA (655 nucleotides) under uncultured Pseudomonadota bacterium. RNAcentral describes it as "bacterial SSU rRNA". It matches the Rfam family "Bacterial small subunit ribosomal RNA", at positions 74 to 722 of the family's 1533-position model. The record is from RNAcentral. Lineage: Bacteria; Pseudomonadati; Pseudomonadota.